UCCGGUUGAUCCUGCCAGAGGCCGCUGCUAUCCGGCUGGGACUAAGCCAUGCUAGUCUAGGGGCUUGUACUCCUUCGGGGGUGCAAGCACCGGCGGACGGCUCAGUAACACGUGGACAACCUGCCCUCGGGUGGGGGAUAACCCCGGGAAACUGGGGCUAAUCCCCCAUAGGUGAUGGGUGCUGGAAUGCCCCAUCUCCGAAAGCGCUUAGCGCCCGAGGAUGGGUCUGCGGCGGAUUAGGUAGUUGGUGGGGUAACGGCCCACCAAGCCUAAGAUCCGUACGGGCUGUGGGAGCAGGAGCCCGGAGAUGGACCCUGAGACAAGGGUCCAGGCCCUACGGGGCGCAGCAGGCGCGAAACCUCCGCAAUGCGGGAAACCGCGACGGGGUUAGCCGGAGUGCCCGUGCAUUGCACGGGCUGUCGGGGUGCCUAAACAGCACCCCAUAGCAAGGGCCGGGCAAGGCCGGUGGCAUCCGCCGCGGUAAGACCGGCGGCCCGAG
RNAcentral lists this ribosomal RNA (499 nucleotides) under uncultured archaeon. Its description in RNAcentral is "bacterial SSU rRNA". It matches the Rfam family "Archaeal small subunit ribosomal RNA", at positions 1 to 488 of the family's 1478-position model. The record is from RNAcentral.